CUACGGGAGGCACCAGUGAGGAAUAUUGCACAAUGGGGGGAACCCUGAUGCAGCAACGCCGCGUGGAGGAUGACGCAUUUCGGUGUGUAAACUCCUUUUAUAUGUCAAGAAAAUGACGGUAGCAUAUGAAUAAGCACCGGCUAACUCCGUGCCAGCAGCCGCGGUAAUACGGAGGGUGCAAGCGUUACUCGGAAUCACUGGGCGUAAAGGACGCGUAGGCGGGUUGGAAAGUCAGGUGUGAAAUCCUACAGCUUAACUGUAAAACUGCACUUGAAACUUCUAAUCUAGAGUAUGGGAGGGGGAGAUGGAAUUAGUGGUGUAGGGGUAAAAUCCGUAGAUAUCACUAGGAAUACCUAAAGCGAAGGCGAUCUCCCGGAACAUUACUGACGCUAAGGCGUGAAAGCGUGGGGAGCAAACAGGAUUAGAUACCCGUGUAGUC
This 439-nucleotide ribosomal RNA is filed under the name uncultured bacterium. RNAcentral describes it as "partial 16S ribosomal RNA". It matches the Rfam family "Bacterial small subunit ribosomal RNA", at positions 339 to 795 of the family's 1533-position model. The record is from RNAcentral.